CUUUUCAGUGACCUGAACUCUGUCCACCCUGCCACUUACAGGCUGAGUGACUAUAGGUAGCCCCCUCCUAUUAGGAGGUAAUAAUAAUGACAUCACAAUCACAAGUGAUCCAGCACCAGUCUUCAGGACUUCUGCAGCCUCCUGAAUUGGCAAAUACCUUAGAAGGUAUCAUGCCUCAUGUCUGUAAUCCCAGCACUUUGGGAGGCUGAGGCAGGUGGAUCACCUGAGGUCGGGAGUUCGAGACCAGCCUGACCAACGUGGAGAAGCCCCUUCUCUACUAAAAAUACAAAAUUAGCCCGGUAUAGUGGUGCAUUCCUGUAAUCCCAGCUACUCCGGAGGUUGAGGCAGGAGAAUCGCUUGAACCCGGGAGGCAGAGGUUGUGGUGAGCCAAGAUCGCAUCAUUGCACUCCUACAGCAAAACUCCGUCUCAAAAAAAAAAAAAAAUCAAAAUGUAGAGCUGUAAAUCUUAGGCCAUCACCUCCUGAUUCUAGGGCUAUAAACCUGUUGUUUUCAAAGCUAUUUAAGGGCCCUGCUCACACAGGAAUUCAUGGCAGAAUGGAGCUGGGAGGCAGAUGGAGCGAUGGAGAUCAUAUGCUCAGGAUCCCUCUCCCCCUCUCAUGACAAAGGCUUUGCCCCUGCUUCUGGCUGGAGGGACCUGCCCUCUCCUUGCUUGGGACAGUUGUUAACCAACACAUCUUAAUGACAGAGGAGAGAAGAAUCAAGACCUGGGGAUGGAGCUGGGAGAGGCCAGCCUCGAACAAAGAAUAUCUUGAAAGCCUCUUUUUAUCAUUAAAGUGUGUAUGAAUGUUACCUUUUACCUCAUCAUACACUUGUGCUUGUUCACUGUGUUUUAAAUGUCCUCAGAUCUUCAAGUAUAAUGUCUUCGUUCUACCUGCGGGUUUAACUUUCCUCCGGCACAGCGAUGUGGACCCCUAGACAGCCACACAGCACAGCUGAGAAGGAAUUCUCAUGGCUGGCAGCAAUUCUC
RNAcentral lists this long non-coding RNA (988 nucleotides) under Homo sapiens (human). RNAcentral's name for it is "HSALNT0388480". Lineage: Eukaryota; Metazoa; Chordata; Mammalia; Primates; Hominidae. The record is from RNAcentral.